RNAcentral lists this ribosomal RNA (467 nucleotides) under uncultured bacterium. RNAcentral describes it as "partial 16S ribosomal RNA". It matches the Rfam family "Bacterial small subunit ribosomal RNA", at positions 28 to 507 of the family's 1533-position model. The record is from RNAcentral.
GACGAACGCUGGCGGCGUGCUUAACACAUGCAAGUCGAACGGAAAGGCCCUGCUUUUGUGGGGUGCUCGCGUGGCGAACGGGUGAGUAACACGUGAGUAACCUGCCCUUGACUUGGGAUAACUUCCGGAAACCGGGGCUAAUACCGGAAAGGAGCUCCUGGCGCAUGGUGGGGGUUGGAAAGUUUGGGCGGUUGGGGAUUGACUCGCGGCUUAUCAGCUUGUUGGUUGGGUAGUGGCUUACCAAGGCUUUGACGGGUAGCCGGCCUGGGAGGGUGACCGGCCACAUUGGGACUGAGAUACGGCCCAGACUCCUACGGGAGGCAGCAGUGGGGAAUAUUGCACAAUGGGCGGAAGCCUGAUGCAGCAACGCCGCGUGCGGGAUGACGGCCUUCGGGUUGUAAACCGCUUUCGCCUGUGACGAAGCGUGAGUGACGGUAAUGGGUAAAGAAGCACCGGCUAACUACGUG